Molecule: ribosomal RNA, 427 nt
Filed under: Subulitermes microsoma
Lineage: Eukaryota; Metazoa; Arthropoda; Insecta; Blattodea; Termitidae
Description: partial 16S ribosomal RNA
Rfam family: Archaeal large subunit ribosomal RNA (bases 1-214)
Source: RNAcentral
UCGCCUGUUUAUCAAAAACAUCUUUUCUUGUUAGUUUUUGAAGUAUGGCCUGCCCACUGACAAUAUUUGUUGAAGGGCCGCGGUAUUUUGACCGUGCAAAGGUAGCAUAAUCAUUAGUUCUUUAAUUGUGAUCUGGUAUGAAUGGCUUGACGAGACGUAAGCUGUCUUAAAGGCAUUAUUUUAUUGAAUUUAGUUUUUGAGUUAAAAUUCUUAAAUGUUUUUAUGGGACGAGAAGACCCUAUAGAGUUUGACAAUUUUAUUGUUUGUAUAAUUGUUUGUAUUUUGUUUUUUAAUAGUAAAAUUGUUUUGUUGGGGUGAUGAGAGGAACAUAUUUAACUCCUCUUUGUUUUUAUAUAUUUAUUUAUGUUUCUUUUGAUCCAUUUAUUUUGAUUGUAAGAUUAAAUUACCUUAGGGAUAACAGCGUAAA